GACGAACGUUGGCGGCGUGCUUAACACAUGCAAGUCGAACGGAAAGGCCCUGCUUUUGUGGGGUGCUCGAGUGGCGAACGGGUGAGUAACACGUGAGUAACCUGCCCUUGACUUUGGGAUAACUUCAGGGAACUGGGGCUAAUACCGGAUAGGAGCUCCUGCUGCAUGGUGGGGGUUGGAAAGUUUCGGCGGUUGGGGAUGGACUCGCGGCUUAUCAGCUUGUUGGUGGGGUAGUGGCUUACCAAGGCUUUGACGGGUAGCCGGCCUGAGAGGGUGACCGGCCACAUUGGGACUGAGAUACGGCCCAGACUCCUACGGGAGGCAGCAGUGGGGAAUAUUGCACAAUGGGCGGAAGCCUGAUGCAGCAACGCCGCGUGCGGGAUGACGGCCUUCGGGUUGUAAACCGCUUUCGCCUGUGACGAAGCGUGAGUGACGGUAAUGGGUAAAGAAGCACCGGCUAACUACGUGCCAGCAGCCGCGGUGAUACGUAGGGUGCGAGCGUUGUCCGGAUUUAUUGGGCGUAAAGGGCUCGUAGGUGGUUGAUCGCGUCGGAAGUGUAAUCUUGGGGCUUAACCCUGAGCGUGCUUUCGAUACGGGUUGACUUGAGGAAGGUAGGGGAGAAUGGAAUUCCUGGUGGAGCGGUGGAAUGCGCAGAUAUCAGGAGGAACACCAGUGGCGAAGGCGGUUCUCUGGGCCUUUCCUGACGCUGAGGAGCGAAAGCGUGGGGAGCGAACAGGCUUAGAUACCCUGGUAGUCCACGCUGUAAACGGUGGGUACUAGGUGUGGGGUCCAUUCCACGGGUCCCGUGCCGUAGCUAACGCUUUAAGUACCCCGCCUGGGGAGUACGGCCGCAAGGCUAAAACUCAAAGGAAUUGACGGGGCCCCGCACAAGCGGCGGAGCAUGCGGAUUAAUUCGAUGCAACGCGUAGAACCUUACCUGGGUUUGACAUGGAUCGGGAGUGCUCAGAGAUGGGUGUGCCUCUUUUGGGGUCGGUUCACAGGUGGUGCAUGGCUGUCGUCAGCUCGUGUCGUGAGAUGUUGGGUUAAGUCCCGCAACGAGCGCAACCCUUGUUCACUGUUGCCAGCACGUUAUGGUGGGGACUCAGUGGAGACCGCCGGGGUCAACUCGGAGGAAGGUGGGGAUGACGUCAAGUCAUCAUGCCCCUUAUGUCCAGGGCUUCACGCAUGCUACAAUGGCUGGUACAGAGAGUGGCGAGCCUGUGAGGGUGAGCGAAUCUCGGAAAGCCGGUCUCAGUUCGGAUUGGGGUCUGCAACUCGACCUCAUGAAGUCGGAGUCGCUAGUAAUCGCAGAUCAGCAACGCUGCGGUGAAUACGUUCCCGGG
Molecule: ribosomal RNA, 1343 nt
Filed under: uncultured bacterium
Lineage: Bacteria
Description: 16S ribosomal RNA
Rfam family: Bacterial small subunit ribosomal RNA
Source: RNAcentral